Molecule: ribosomal RNA, 468 nt
Filed under: uncultured bacterium
Lineage: Bacteria
Description: partial 16S ribosomal RNA
Rfam family: Bacterial small subunit ribosomal RNA
Source: RNAcentral
GACGAACGCUGGCGGCGUGCUUAACACAUGCAAGUCGAACGGAAAGGCCCUGCUUUUGUGGGGUGCUCGAGUGGCGAACGGGUGAGUAACACGUGAGUAACCUGCCCUUGACUUUGGGAUAACUUCAGGAAACUGGGGCUAAUACCGGAUAGGAGCUCCUGCUGCAUGGUGUGGGUUGGAAAGUUUCGGCGGUUGGGGAUGGACUCGCGGCUGAUCAGCUUGUUGGUGGGGUAGUGGCUUACCAAGGCUUUGACGGGUAGCCGGCCUGAGAGGGUGACCGGCCACCUUGGGACAGAGAUACGGCCCAGAGUACUACGGGAGGCAGCAGUGGGGAAUAUUGCACAAUGGGCGGAAGCCUGAUGCAGCAACGCCGCGUGCGGGAUGACGGCCUUCGGGUUGUAAACCGCUUUCGCCUGUGACGAAGCGUGAGUGACGGUAAUGGGUAAAGAAGCACCGGCUAACUACGUG